UCAUGGUCGUUGGCGACCAAGUCCUUCCCAUCAGUCCGGAAGAGCUCGUUAUGAGCAUAGAACUGAUCUGGUGAGCCUGCAGUUGUGGCACCACAAUGAUCAGCCAAGUACGUCCUUCUGCCGUCAUUGAUGGCAAGUCCAUCCGCAACAUGAGAAACAGUAGGUAUCAAAUCACCGUUGGGUUUCAAGAAUGCAUCUCGGCUACUGUUUCUCCAAGCUUCAGAGUCCAGUUUUGAUCCAUUCUCCAGCUGCCUGGAAAGUUGCAUAUGCUCGUUUAGUUUACUGGAAUGCCCGAGUAUAU
RNAcentral lists this long non-coding RNA (301 nucleotides) under Linum usitatissimum (flax). RNAcentral's name for it is "long non-coding RNA (LUSI_LNC000934)". The record is from RNAcentral. Lineage: Eukaryota; Viridiplantae; Streptophyta; Magnoliopsida; Malpighiales; Linaceae.